Molecule: small nucleolar RNA, 132 nt
Organism: Sphaeramia orbicularis (orbiculate cardinalfish)
Lineage: Eukaryota; Metazoa; Chordata; Actinopteri; Kurtiformes; Apogonidae
Source: Ensembl
UUGGCCCAAUCAAGGCCAGCAGCUUGAGGUAGCUGUUGGUUUCAAAGGGAGCCUACAUGAACUCCUUCCUGUGGUCUGUUGGUUUUCCCAGAGUUGCAAAGGGGCUAAUCAAUUCAGUUGGAAGGCACAAUU